GGGGGAAUUUUGGACAAUGGGCGCAAGCCUGAUCCAGCCAUGCCGCGUGCGGGAAGAAGGCCUUCGGGUUGUAAACCGCUUUCGGACAGAAAGAAAUCGCAUGGACUAAUACUCUGUGUGGAUGACGGUACUGUAAGAAGAAGCACCGGCUAACUACGUGCCAGCAGCCGCGGUAAUACGUAGGGUGCGAGCGUUAAUCGGAAUUACUGGGCGUAAAGCGUGCGCAGGCGGAUAUUUAAGUCAGACGUGA
Molecule: ribosomal RNA, 250 nt
Filed under: uncultured bacterium
Lineage: Bacteria
Description: partial 16S ribosomal RNA
Rfam family: Bacterial small subunit ribosomal RNA
Source: RNAcentral